AACUUUUGGCAACGGAUCUCUUGGCUCUCGCAUCGAUGAAGAACGCAGCGAAAUGCGAUAAGUAAUGUGAAUUGCAGAAUCCGUGAGUCAUCGAAUCUUUGAACGCACAUUGCGCCCUCUGGUAUUCCGGGGGGCAUGCCUGUUCGAGCGUCAUUAUCGCCCUUCGCGCCCCCGUGGUGUGGUGUUGGGUCUUUGCCCGGGGCCCCGCGCCCCGGGCGGCCCUAAAGACAAUGACGGCGUCGCAGGAGGACCCCAGUACACUGAGCUCUCGGGCACGUACUCGGUUUUGGACCACACUGGACGACCGGUCGUCGACUUCAUUUUUCAGAAAGUUGACCUCGGAUCAGGUAGGGAUACCCGCUGAACUUAAGCAUAUCAAUAAGCGGAGGCU
RNAcentral lists this unclassified non-coding RNA (391 nucleotides) under uncultured Chaetothyriales. RNAcentral describes it as "sequence contains ITS2". The stretch from base 1 to 153 matches the Rfam family "5.8S ribosomal RNA". The record is from RNAcentral. Lineage: Eukaryota; Fungi; Ascomycota; Eurotiomycetes; Chaetothyriales.